UGCUUUUGCUGUUGAUUGCCAUAGUAGUG
Molecule: non-coding RNA, 29 nt
Filed under: Rattus norvegicus (Norway rat)
Lineage: Eukaryota; Metazoa; Chordata; Mammalia; Rodentia; Muridae
Source: RNAcentral